This 74-nucleotide transfer RNA is filed under the name Buchnera aphidicola (Sipha maydis). RNAcentral describes it as "transfer RNA Threonine". It matches the Rfam family "tRNA". Rfam says of the family: Transfer RNA (tRNA) molecules are approximately 80 nucleotides in length. Their secondary structure includes four short double-helical elements and three loops (D, anti-codon, and T loops). The record is from RNAcentral. Lineage: Bacteria; Pseudomonadati; Pseudomonadota; Gammaproteobacteria; Enterobacterales; Erwiniaceae.
GCUGGUAUAGCUUAGUUGGUUAGAGCGCACCCUUGGUAAGGGUGAGAUCCCCAGUUCAAAUCUGGGUAUCAGCA